CUGCAGAGAGGCUAGGGGCUCAAAAGGACUCAGAGCUCAGUGCUGGCACAGGCAGUCUCUACUUGGUAUGAAGCACUCUAUUCCAUCACCACCACUAGCUCACUUCCCUAAUGCACUUUGGAUCAUGUUUGGGAUGGAUCCUGUCUAUGCAGACGGUUCUUUCUGGUGUGCAGAAGUACAGAUGGAGCCUGGCAGUAGUCUGGAAGCCUGACUUUGACCUUGAGUCUGGAAUUGACAUUCUUACAGCUUUAAGAAAUUGCUUAACCUAUCUGAGCCCUAGAUCCUCAGUUAUUUCUAAAACAAGGGGUUUUGGCUACAUGCAUUCUAAGAUUCUUUUGAGUUCUGUGAUUUUAUAGUUUUCAUGAGAAAACUUAAGACACUUCUUACUAUUGAAAUAUUCACCUUUGUGCUUUUCACGUAGUGACAAGUUCUAGAAGAGCAAUGUUGACAUCAAUUGUCUUAACGGUUCAAUGGGAACUUGAAAGCUACAUCAGGAUAUUUUUAUUACAAUAACAGUGAUUCCUGAGCCUUCAUUCUUGAAGGAUUAUAACAAUACUCUAAUUUUGAGGCUGGACAGUUAUUGUAUUCUAUAUUUAUAUCAAUUAUGCCUUUAAUAUAAUCUAAUUUAAAGUAAUUUAAAGAUUCCUAGAGAGAGAGUCUGAACUUUCCUCAAUCUACGAUGGAAAUGAUCAUAUAGGUUUCUUUAAAACGCUGGUUGAAUUUUGUUUUGACAUUUACCAUGUUAAGAUUCAUACAUCUUACCUUACUAUAACCUAAAAUACUAAGUUGUAAAUUGGGAUCAAGUGUGAGUGAGGAUGCCUGACAACC
RNAcentral lists this long non-coding RNA (828 nucleotides) under Rattus norvegicus (Norway rat). RNAcentral describes it as "long non-coding RNA NONRATT020713". The record is from RNAcentral. Lineage: Eukaryota; Metazoa; Chordata; Mammalia; Rodentia; Muridae.